This 30-nucleotide non-coding RNA is filed under the name Rattus norvegicus (Norway rat). Lineage: Eukaryota; Metazoa; Chordata; Mammalia; Rodentia; Muridae. The record is from RNAcentral.
UAGUCUUCUAGAAGCUGGUACAUGUACAGC